This is a long non-coding RNA of Vidua macroura (Pin-tailed whydah), 505 nucleotides long. RefSeq lists it as uncharacterized. The record is from RefSeq and is a predicted model, not a curated record. The transcript is spliced from 3 exons. NCBI's taxonomy places the organism in Eukaryota, Metazoa, Chordata, Aves, Passeriformes, Viduidae.
AAAAGGUGGGAUUUAGGGAUAAUGGCCAUGCCCACGACCAUCAGCUGCUUCUGGAGACAGGGAAAAAGGUGGGAUUUAGGGAUAAUGGCCAUGCCCACGACCAUCAGCUGCUUCUGGAGACAGGGAAAAAGGUGGGAUUUAGGGAUAAUGGCCAUGCCCCACAAGCAUCAGCUGCUUCUGGAGACAGGAAAAAAAGGUGGGAUUUAGGGAUAAUGUUCAUGCCCACGACCAUCAGCUGCUUCUGGAGACAGGAAAAAAGGUGGGAUUUAGGGAUAAUGGCCAUGCCCAGGACCAUCAGCUGCUUCUGGAGAGGGGAACAGAGGUGGGAUUUAGGGAUAAUGUUCAUGCCCAGGACCAUCAGCUGCUUCUGGAGAGGGAAGGAGAAGUGGGAUUUAGGGAUAAUGGCCAUGCCCACGACCAUCAGCUGCUUCUGGAGACAGGAAAAGAGAUGGGAUUUAGGGAUAAUGGCCAUGCCCAUGACCAUCAGCUGCUUCUGGAGAGGGGA